This 448-nucleotide ribosomal RNA is filed under the name Bacillus pumilus. Its description in RNAcentral is "bacterial SSU rRNA". It matches the Rfam family "Bacterial small subunit ribosomal RNA", at positions 62 to 498 of the family's 1533-position model. The record is from RNAcentral. Lineage: Bacteria; Bacillati; Bacillota; Bacilli; Caryophanales; Bacillaceae.
UCGAGCGGCAGAAGGGAGCUUGCUCCGGAUGUUAGCGGCGGCGGGUGAGUAACACGUGGGUAACCUGCCUGUAAGACUGGGAUAACUCCGGGAAACCGGAGCUAAUACCGGAUAGUUCCUUGAACCGCAUGGUUCAAGGAUGAAAGACGGUUUCGGCUGUCACUUACAGAUGGACCCGCGGCGCAUUAGCUAGUUGGUGAGGUAACGGCUCACCAAGGCGACGAUGCGUAGCCGACCUGAGAGGGUGAUCGGCCACACUGGGACUGAGACACGGCCCAGACUCCUACGGGAGGCAGCAGUAGGGAAUCUUCCGCAAUGGACGAAAGUCUGACGGAGCAACGCCCGUGAGUGAUGAAGGUUUUCGGAUCGUAAAGCUCUGUUGUUAGGGAAGACAAGUGCAAGAGUAACUGCUUGCACCUUGACGGUACCUAACCAGAAAGCCACGGCU